UACGUAGGGGGCAAGCGUUGUCCGGAUUUAUUGGGCGUAAAGAGCGUGUAGGCGGCUAGGUAGGUCCGCUGUGAAAACUCGAGGCUCAACCUCGAGACGUCGGUGGAAACCAUCUAGCUAGAGUCCGGAAGAGGAGAGUGGAAUUCCCGGUGUAGCGGUGAAAUGCGCAGAUAUCGGGAGGAAUACCGAUGGCGAAGGCAGGUCUCUGGGCUGACACUGACGCUCAUGCACGAAAGCGUGGGGAGCAAACAGG
RNAcentral lists this ribosomal RNA (253 nucleotides) under uncultured bacterium. RNAcentral's name for it is "partial 16S ribosomal RNA". It matches the Rfam family "Bacterial small subunit ribosomal RNA", at positions 524 to 776 of the family's 1533-position model. The record is from RNAcentral.